Molecule: ribosomal RNA, 1172 nt
Filed under: marine metagenome
Description: bacterial LSU rRNA
Rfam family: Bacterial large subunit ribosomal RNA
Source: RNAcentral
AGGAAGUGAAUAUGUCGGCUUGAGUAACGAUAAAUGGAGUGAGAAUCUCCAUCGCCGAAAACCUAAGGUUUCCUGGGGAAGGUAAAUCCGCCCAGGGUUAGGCGGGACCUAAGGCGAGGCCGAAAGGCGUAGUCGAUGGACAGCAGGUCAACAUUCCUGCCCCGUCAUGUAAGGUUGAUCCAGCGCGACGGAUCAUGAAGCUUUGUGGGACAGUGAAGCGUCCAGGCCCUUGAGGCCGAUGCAAGGUGGAUUGGUUCCAAGAAAAACCGUCUGGUGACGAGCAUGACGCCCGUACUAAAACUGACACAGGUAGGUGUGGCGAAAAGCCUCAGGCGCUCGAGAGAACCGUUGUGAAGGAACUAGGCAAAUUGACCCCGUACGUUCGCAAUAAGGGGGCCCUCCUGGAAACAGAGGGCGCAGAGAAAAGGCUCUGGCGACUGUUUAUCAAAAACACAGCACUGUGCGAACACGCAAGUGGACGUAUACAGUGUGACGCCUGCUCGGUGCCGGAAUGUUAAGGAAGUGGGUUAGCUUCGGCGAAGCUCAUGACUGAAGCACCGGUAAACAGCGGCCGUAACUAUGACGGUCCUAAGGUAGCGAAGUUCCUUGUCGGGUAAGUUCCGACGUGCAUGAAUGGCGUAACGACUGGAGCACUGUCUCCACAACGGACUCGGUGAAAUAGUAGUGGCGGUGAAGAUGCCGCCUACCCGCAGCAAGACGGAAAGACCCCGUGGACCUUUACUGCAGGCAUAUAUUGGUCAUGGAUUGGUACUGUGUAGGAUAGGUGGGAGACGUUGAAGCCAUCAUUCCGGUGAUGGUGGAGUCAUCCUUGAAAUACCACCCUGUGUUGAUUUGUGGCCUAACCCCGAUACCCAUGAAGCUGGGCGGGGGACCAUGUAUGCUGGGCGGUUUGACUGGGGCGGUCUCCUCCUAAAAGGUAACGGAGGAGCGCAAAGGUUAGCUCAGCGCGGUUGGAAACCGCGUGUCGAGUGUAAGAGCACAAGCUAGCUUUACUGCAAGACAUACAGGUCGAGCAGUUACGAAAGUAGGCUCUAGUGAUCCUGCGAUCCCGUGUGGAAGGGUCGUAGCUCAUCGGAUAAAAGGUACCCCGGGGAUAACAGGCUUAUCGCUCCCGAGCGUCCAUAGCGGCGGAGCGGUUUGGCACCUCGAUG